This is a long non-coding RNA of Carya illinoinensis, 2342 nucleotides long. RefSeq lists it as uncharacterized. The transcript is spliced from 4 exons. The record is from RefSeq and is a predicted model, not a curated record. Lineage: Eukaryota; Viridiplantae; Streptophyta; Magnoliopsida; Fagales; Juglandaceae.
GUCCAUUAAAAUAAAAAUAAGAGAAUAUGGCGCUGCGUGCACGAUCGAGCUCAACGUUCUUCAGGCAGCGUAAAAAUAUAACAGUUCUAUAAAGCGUGUUUCCAGCUUAGCACUCUGCCAUUCAGCGGUCUGUCUGUUUGUCUCUCUCUUCCUUGGCCAGUGCGAGAAUCCAUAGAUCUGGCAUCGUUUUCACGGAUCGAAUGUCGCUUUCACGCUCUCACUCUUUUUUCUGGGAGUCGAAUCAGAAGUUAGGGCUUUCAACGAAAUCAGAUCGCAUUAAGGUCGUUCAGAAGUUAAUGAGAGAUAUGCAUGUGAAUAUAUUAGAAGAUGAAAUCGUUUGAAGGUAGAGAGUGGCUGCAGAUGAUAAAGCUGUUGUGUCGAGACAUGCGUGGAACUUGUUUGCAUAGAAGGUUACAUACGGGUCGCAUGGGUGUUGAACAUGGAGAAAUAGAGAAGCCGUCACAAAACCAAUAUUUUACCCUAACGUUUUUGGAUUUUCCAUUUCCUCAGGAGAGUGCUUGGGGCGGGGGGAGGGGUGGAUGAAGUGGUUUUUGAAACAUAAUGUGGUAAAUGGUUCUAUAUCUGUUUGGCGGGAUAUGUGGUAGCCUUUUGGUCCUCUUUACCAUAAAUUUGGACAUGAAUUCUAUAUGUGGAGUUACAAAGCUAGCUGUUCAAAGUUGAAGAAACUAAUGAUUUAGAGCAUUUUACUGGGUUUUCUUCCCAGAAUGGGAAAUACGCUUCCAUUGAUGGUUGGGAUGUAUGGAUUAAGGCCUUGGUCUUGGUGGUAUGCUCCCUACAGGUCUAAGGUUUGAAUCUUCUUUGGUGCAAAAAAUUUCUAGGGGUCAUCGGACUUGGGAAACUCCCCUUGAAUUAUCCGAGGGCACUUGUGAGAAACUUCUUGCCAAGAGCCUAUGCACCUCUGGAAUUAGUUGAAACUUUAUUCUUGGACACCCAGUGCCAAUAAAAAAAAUAUUUGGGUUGUAAUUGAAGAUGAGAUCACUUGUAUCAUAUGUUGGAAGCUUAUUUUAUUACCUUCCUGGAAUGGGAAAAUACCCACUAGUAUUUGGGAGGCAGAUAGGCACAGGAUGCCUCAUGUCUCAUGUUAGAAGCUUAUUCCUAUUCUGGUGCUGUAUCAAAGAGACCCAUAUAUGUGCUGGAUUGUUAUAAAGACUUGGCUCUUGGCCCUACCACUACCAAUGAUGGAUUAGCUAAUUGGGGUUAUAUCAUAUCAUGUACUUUUUGUAGAAUUAGGCUGCAGAGAAGAGGUUAGUUCUUUUAUGAAUUUUCUUUGCAGGAGAAUUUGGAUGGAAGUGCAUGGUUGCUUGAUAGAUUAGAAGCUGCGGUGAAGAUUUGAAUUGGGAUGUCAAUGCUUUGAAGGAUGUUGGCUUCUAGAAUCCGCUGGCCAUGUCAGCAGGGUUGGAUAGACAGUACAGCCGGGGCAUGAGGGCCAAAAUAGCCACCCCACAAGGGGACGGGGGGUGGGGAGGGUGGUUACUUGCUCACAUAGGGCGGGUAGCACCCCUACUUAGCAUGUUCAAGAAUGAAUGGAUGAUUUUGCAAUAGAAGCAACAUGAUCUAGUCCCCUACCGGACAGAUGAGAUGCGAUUUCUGUUGUCAUUUCCAUGGUUUCACAAUCGAGAGGACGACGACGAGUGCAAUAACCAAGAGCAAUAUGAUGGCAAUCAUCAUGCACUUUCUUGACUUCCUCUGCAAAGUCUUUGCAGAUUGGAGAGCUUCUGUACCCGAUCGCAGAUGGUCCACUGUAUUUGUCACCUGUUGAGAAUAGUAGCAGCAAUCGUUGGAUUGAUUUACAAUAUAACAACUACCAUGCAGCGUUAUCAAGAAAUCGAGGAUUUUGAAGUUAUAUAAUGAUUGAAAAAUAGGAUUCCUGUACCCCCAACGGUUCAAAAAGAGAACAGACACUUAAAAAAGAGUGAAAAGCAUGCUAUAAACAUAAAAGAGAGGAGAAUAGCAGUAUAGAUGAAGCAUCUUGAAUCACAAUAUUAGUCCUAUGUCAUAAUCGGCAACGGAAAGCUCCUAUACAGCUUGCAAUUAUACUUUGGUGUGGUGUAAAUCCCUGCAGAAGUGGCUAUCGACCUAGGUCCAUGCCCUCUUCCCCAGUUGCUCGUGGGUUCUUGAUACGAGAAUGCACGGCAGUCAAAAGUUAUUGUUCCAACCAUCUUCAUUUGCUGCGUUCGGCUCUCAAAACGAAUAGUUUUAGGUUUAGAAAAGAGAGGCUAAUUAACUUAAUUUUUAUCUUUUAUACAUUAUAUGUACAAACAGUGAGAUGAAUGUUCGAGUGAGACAAAACAAAAUGUCGGAAAAGAUCUUGGAACGGUAAA